GUCUACAAACAACCGGGGAAGUUAAGUUCGCGAGAUGUCCCGGAUAAUCUGAACAUCUGUAGGGCGUAUCGACAGCUUGCAUGACAACUUCGAAUCAUCCGCGCACAGUCUAAGAGAUCUAGAUACGCUUGCAGGAAGCCGAGCAAAACGGUCAACUAUGACGUUCGUCCGCCGGUAGCUUCGACUAUUUGUAUUUCGCCCAACAUAUAGAGCGGAGCGAAUCCAGCCUACUUGGUUCUUGGAUGUGCCUGCACUAUUGCUUUCUUCAGAACUUCUUGUCAAGGUGGAAUCUUCUCUUGUUUGGAGGUGCUGGACGAGGUCAAAGUGACGAUGAUUAUGGCGGUUUCCGGUCAUUUUGACUCGCGAUGUAGUCGUACAAGGUGAAGCCACAAUGGUCAAGAAGUGCCUCUUGUUGUCACUGGGUGCUAACUGGCAGUCUCACACAGAUCAAUAUCUCUCCUAUGCUAUGGGCAUCUGAUUGCUGUAAUUACAAUUGCGUAUCGUACUAGUUUGUUGCAAUAGCGGUUUGCGCAUACUGUACAUGUCUUAGAAAUAUUCAAGCACAGUAACUGAUGUACGUAGCUAGUCUAGGCCGUACGUACGUACCGUCGACAUCCAUGUUUGUGUGACUGGUUAAAUACC
Long non-coding RNA from Corticium candelabrum, 642 nucleotides. RefSeq lists it as uncharacterized. The transcript is spliced from 3 exons. Lineage: Eukaryota; Metazoa; Porifera; Homoscleromorpha; Homosclerophorida; Plakinidae. The record is from RefSeq and is a predicted model, not a curated record.